Molecule: ribosomal RNA, 415 nt
Filed under: uncultured microorganism
Description: bacterial SSU rRNA
Rfam family: Archaeal small subunit ribosomal RNA
Source: RNAcentral
GUGCACCAGGCGCGAAACCUUCGCAAUGCGGGAAACCGCGACGAGGGGACUCCCAGUGCCUACGCUCAGCGUAGGCUGUUCCCGAGCCUAGAAAGCUCGGGGAGUAAGGGCUGGGUAAGACGGGUGCCAGCCGCCGCGGUAAUACCCGCAGCCCGAGUGGUGGCCACUAUUAUUGGGCCUAAAGCGUCCGUAGCCGGCCCGGUAAAUGCCUGGGUAAAUCGUGAGGCCUAACCUCACGAAUUCCGGGUAGACUGCCGGGCUAGGGGACCGGAGGAGGGAGAGGGGUACUCCAGGGGUAGGGGUGAAAUCCUGUAAUCCCUGGAGGACCACCGGUGGCGAAGGCGCUCUCCUAGGACGGGUCCGACGGUGAGGGACGAAAGCCAGGGGAGCGAACCGGAUUAGAUACCCCGGUAGU